This is a long non-coding RNA of Gavia stellata (red-throated loon), 1528 nucleotides long. RefSeq lists it as uncharacterized. The transcript is spliced from 3 exons. The record is from RefSeq and is a predicted model, not a curated record. Lineage: Eukaryota; Metazoa; Chordata; Aves; Gaviiformes; Gaviidae.
AAGACGAGCAGGAAUUUGUGGAGAGGAGGAAGUUGGAGCUGGAGGUGUUGGUCAUCUAGCCCACCUAUACCAGGGUGGCAGCUGAUGUUGGCCGAUGUUGUAGCCCUCAGGGGAGUUCACUGGAGAGGAAGAAACUCUGGAUUUCUUGUCUACUCAUAGCUAUGGAACAGGACUGCAAAUAGCUUUCCAGAGACGUCGAGGUUUUAAUCAGUUGCAAUUCCACAUGGACGAAAGACCAAAGAACAAAUAAUUUAUGAGGUGAAGAGCAUAGAUUUAUGCAUUCAUUGGUUAUCUGUGGGACCAAGGAAUGCAUGUUUUAUCCAAACCAGCGUAGAAGUUUAACCCUUUUUUAUUAACAUAUUCCCAAAACCAUUGCAGUAUAGAGCUCAUUGUUAUAUCUUCUCAUGGAUUGCUGUUUGCACUGGGGGUGGGGGACAAAAAUGUCUUGGGUUGCUGCCUGGUGUCCUGAUAAUUUGAUAGGGAAUUUGGCCACAGAAUAACAUGGCUGCACAGUAUAAUGUUUAGCUUUGUGUGGCCACACUUCCUUCCUCUAAAAGCCAAGGUGCAAGGAGGGGGAGUGAAAAGGUGGGACUACUCUGCGUUGCAUCCUUGUACGAGCUGGGAUUUGCCCAGGGCAUAGCCUGUGUCCACCUCAUGAUGGACUCUGGAGUACAUCAGUUCAGAAAUGGCCACAAUAAGUCAGUCCAGCACACAGGGCAGUGAAAAGCUGUAUGACAGCUCCAAGCUUGCCCGUUAGAAAAUUGAGAGAAUAGAAAUCUCUAGGAGAUCUCCUACUUCACUUUGCCUAAAGUCACACAGGCUUUGAAUUCUGAGCUCCAGUCCAGGGCUUUAACCCUUCUGCCAGCAAGUCGCUUGUUCUAAUUAUGAAUGUCCUUGAUUCUUUGAGCCAUUUCUGUUGUAUUUAUCAUCAAAUGGCUCCUUAUCUUGUAGCAAUAAUGCUGUUCAGCUAGGGAAGAGAAUCUUCUAUCCCUAUUUUUGGCUCUUCCAGAAGGAGAAGUACUUAAGAAGAUAAAUAGUAUCUUCUAUUUUGUAGAGGAUAACUGUAUGUAUUAUCACAGGCUUCAGUGUGAAAUAAAUGUGAUUAAAAAUAAGAAAGAAUCUAUGCAUCAAACACUGAGUAUUUUGCUUAAACACAACUACAAUUGUCAAACAGAAGGUCUUGUCUGUGUUCUUUUUCAAAAACUGGUUUAUAAUUGCUGACAUUAUUUCUUGGUGAUUACUGUACAUGGAAGAAAAGUGUGACUGCACUUGUCAGACACUUUUCCUACAUAGUGAUAUUGCUUUUCAGAAAUUAUACAACCUUGUAGCCUAGUGAGAAGUAAAUUAAAAAGCACUGAGAUUUAUUCCCUGAAUUGUAUCUCCAGUUAAAGUUACAAUUGCUCAAAGUAUUGUUUAUUUUUCUUUUAGAAAAAGGCUACUUAGAAUAUGGCUAAUGACAUUUUUGAUAGAGUUAUAAGAAAAUGUGCUUACAUAAUACUUGACUUCAAAAUCACAUGGAAACAUUGUA